Molecule: long non-coding RNA, 542 nt
Filed under: Mytilus galloprovincialis (Mediterranean mussel)
Lineage: Eukaryota; Metazoa; Mollusca; Bivalvia; Mytilida; Mytilidae
Source: RNAcentral
GGCUUGGUUUCAAAUGACCGUAUCACAUUAAUAGUUACCCUAUCGAAUGUCUGGGUGAAAUGUUUGAUACACUAAUGUAACUGCAUGUACAUUGUACAGUUUCAUUGUGAAUGAAAAGACUAGGUGUGUCAUGUUCUUACCAAUAUUUGACUAAUGCUGUGACUUGGAGAGGAUUUGGUUGGUCUUGAUAUUGCCUUCUACAUGCAUUAUAUAUUGCUUCUAAUCCCGGAGGUGUUAUUGGAAUAGAGGACUGAGAAUAAUUUGAUGAGUAUAUGCUUUCUCGGUCUUCCAUGUUUUGAAAUAUUCAAUGGCUUUUCUAUUCACCUCCCACUCGCCGGAAUUUAAGAAAACCUGUCUUUUACGAAUAGAACACACAAUAAACAAAACAAAAAUAUUCCUGAGUUAGAAUGUAUGCGUAUAGUUCAUGUUUAACCCAUUGCCGAUGAUAGAAGUCCUUGAAAAAUCCAGUAUUGUAACAAAAUUUGUCAUUGUUGAACGUCUUGACACAACAACAUUCCUGUUUCCGUUUUGAGACCACCCAG